Molecule: ribosomal RNA, 479 nt
Filed under: uncultured bacterium
Lineage: Bacteria
Description: bacterial SSU rRNA
Rfam family: Bacterial small subunit ribosomal RNA
Source: RNAcentral
CUGGCGGCGUGCCUAACACAUGCAAGUCAAAGGAAAGCGGCUUCGGCCGUGAGUACUUGGCGCAAGGGUGAGUAAUGUAUAGGUAAUCUGCCCUUUGGACUGGGAUAACCUCGAGAAAUCGAGGACAAUACCAGAUGAUGCAGCGGAACCGCAUGGUUAUGUUGUUAAAGAUUUAUCGCCAAAGGAUGAGCCUAUAUCCCAUCAGGUAGUUGGUAAGGUAACGGCUUACCAAGCCUACGACGGGUAGCUGGUCUGAGAGGAUGAUCAGCCACAUUGGAACUGAGACACGGUCCAGACUCCUACGGGAGGCAGCAGUGAGGAAUAUUGCGCAAUGGGCGAAAGCCUGACGCAGCAACGCCGCGUGGAUGAAUGAAGUUCUUCGGAAUGUAAAGUCCUUUUGCAGGGGAAGAAUGUGCCGGUACACCGGCAUUGACGGUACCCUGCGAAUAAGCCACGGCUAACUCUGUGCCAGCAGCUGC